AGAGUUUGAUCCUGGCUCAGGAUGAACGCUGGCGGAGUGCCUUAAGCAUGCAAGUGGAACGGUCGCCGCGAGGCGACAGUCGCAGACGGGUGAGUACAGCAUAGGAAUCUACCCUGGGGUGGGGAAUAACUCGGCGAAAGCUGAGCUAAUUCCGCAUAAGCCCGCAAGGGGAAAGGCCGUAACUGGCCGCCGAAGGAGGAGCCUAUGUCCUAUCAGCUAGUUGGUGGGGUAACGGCCUACCAAGGCAAUGACGGGUAGCUGGACUGAGAGGUCGGUCAGCCACAAUAGCACUUAGACACGGGCUAUACAUCUACGGAUGGCAGCAACUGGGAAUAUUGCGCAAUGGACGAAAGUCUGACGCAGCGACUCCGCGUGAGGGAUGACGGCCUUCGGGUUGUAAACCUCUUUUGCUCCGCCACAUGGCGGAGAGAAUAAGCACCUGCUAACCACGUGCCAGCAGCCGCGGUAAUACGUGGGGUGCGAGCGUUAUCCGGAUUUACUGGGCGUAAAGAGUUCGUAGGCGUCUGGUAAAGUUUCGUUUGAAAGACCGAGGCUUAACUUCGGAAACGGACGAAAUACUUAUCAGAUUGAGUUAGUUAGGGGGUACUGGAACUUCCGGUGUAGCAGUGAAAUGCGUUGAUAUUGGAAGGAACACCAAGGGCGAAGGCAGGUACCUGGGACUUAACUGACGCUGAGGAACGAAAGCUAGGGGAGCGAAAGGGAUUAAGUUUAGUCCCAUUCCGCAGUAAUGUGGAAUGAAAACUGGCUAUAUCGGUGGAACUCCUUGUUAUUUCGGGUUACCUUUGGUAAUCUGAAAUUAGGUGAGGACAAUACCGAGGGAAGUUAGUAUUCUAAGUAAAACUCAAGAAAAUGUUUUGAUAGGUACUAUUUUGGGAGAUGGCGGAUUGCGCUUUAAGGGUAGCGAAUGUCGGUUGCAUAUUAAACAUGCAGCUUGGCAACUGCCUUUGGUGCAAUACAAACAUCUGAUUUUCGAAAACUUUGUUU
This 1005-nucleotide ribosomal RNA is filed under the name Candidatus Amesbacteria bacterium GW2011_GWC1_48_10. Its description in RNAcentral is "bacterial SSU rRNA". The stretch from base 2 to 835 matches the Rfam family "Bacterial small subunit ribosomal RNA", at positions 9 to 873 of the family's 1533-position model. Lineage: Bacteria; Candidatus Amesiibacteriota. The record is from RNAcentral. RNAcentral also lists the same sequence under 1 other name.